AUGAACGCUGGCGGCGUGCCUAAUACAUGCAAGUCGAGCGAACGGACGAGAAGCUUGCUUCUCUGAUGUUAGCGGCGGACGGGUGACUAACACGUGGAUAACCUACCUAUAAGACUGGGAUAACUUCGGGAAACCGGAGCUAAUACCGGAUGAUAUUUUGAACCGCAUGGUUCAAAAGUGAAAGACGGUCUUGCUGUCACUUAUAGAUGGAUCCGCGCUGCAUUAGCUAGUUGGUAAGGUAACGGCUUACCAAGGCAACGAUGCAUAGCCGACCUGAGAGGGUGAUCGGCCACACUGGAACUGAGACACGGUCCAGACUCCUACGGGAGGCAGCAGUAGGGAAUCUUCCGCAAUGGGCGAAAGCCUGACGGAGCAACGCCGCGUGAGUGAUGAAGGUCUUCGGAUCGUAAAACUCUGUUAUUAGGGAAGAACAUAUGUGUAAGUAACUGUGCACAUCUUGACGGUACCUAAUCAGAAAGCCACGGCUAACUACGUG
This 496-nucleotide ribosomal RNA is filed under the name uncultured bacterium. Its description in RNAcentral is "partial 16S ribosomal RNA". It matches the Rfam family "Bacterial small subunit ribosomal RNA", at positions 29 to 507 of the family's 1533-position model. The record is from RNAcentral.